GACGAACGCUGGCGGCGUGCUUAACACAUGCAAGUCGAACGGAAAGGCCCUGCUUUUGUGGGGUGCUCGAGUGGCGAACGGGUGAGUAACACGUGAGUAACCUGCCCUUGACUUUGGGAUAACUUCAGGAAACUGGGGCUAAUACCGGAUAGGAGCUCCUGCUGCAUGGUGGGGGUUGGAAAGUUUCGGCGGUUGGGGAUGGACUCGCGGCUUAUCAGCUUGUUGGUGGGGUAGUGGCUUACCAAGGCUUUGACGGGUAGCCGGCCUGAGAGGGUGACCGGCCACAUGGGGACUGAGAUACGGCCCAGAGUCCUACGGGAGGCAGCAGUGGGGAAUAUUGCACAAUGGGCGGAAGCCUGAUGCAGCAACGCCGCGUGAGGGAUGACGGCCUUCGGGUUGUAAACCGCUUUCGCCUGUGACGAAGCGUGAGUGACGGUAAUGGGUAAAGAAGCACCGGCUAACUACGUG
This 468-nucleotide ribosomal RNA is filed under the name uncultured bacterium. RNAcentral describes it as "partial 16S ribosomal RNA". It matches the Rfam family "Bacterial small subunit ribosomal RNA", at positions 28 to 507 of the family's 1533-position model. The record is from RNAcentral.